ACGGGUGAGUAAUGCCUGGGAAAUUGCCCUGAUGUGGGGGAUAACCAUUGGAAACGAUGGCUAAUACCGCAUAAUAGCUUCGGCUCAAAGAGGGGGACCUUCGGGCCUCUCGCGUCAGGAUAUGCCCAGGUGGGAUUAGCUAGUUGGUGAGGUAAGGGCUCACCAAGGCGACGAUCCCUAGCUGGUCUGAGAGGAUGAUCAGCCACACUGGAACUGAGACACGGUCCAGACUCCUACGGGAGGCAGCAGUGGGGAAUAUUGCACAAUGGGCGCAAGCCUGAUGCAGCCAUGCCGCGUGUAUGAAGAAGGCCUUCGGGUUGUAAAGUACUUUCAGCAGUGAGGAAGGUGGUGUACUUAAUACGUGCAUCAUUUGACGUUAGCUGCAGAAGAAGCACCGGCUAACUCCGUGCCAGCAGCCGCGGUAAUACGGAGGGUGCGAGCGUUAAUCGGAAUUACUGGGCGUAAAGCGCAUGCAGGUGGUUUGUUAAGUCAGAUGUGAAA
Molecule: ribosomal RNA, 501 nt
Filed under: Vibrio sp. WH279
Lineage: Bacteria; Pseudomonadati; Pseudomonadota; Gammaproteobacteria; Vibrionales; Vibrionaceae
Description: bacterial SSU rRNA
Rfam family: Bacterial small subunit ribosomal RNA
Source: RNAcentral